CUACCUGUGCCUAGUUUUUAGGUCAUAUUGUUCCGACUACGUCGUAUAAAGUUCUAGAUAGAUAACUGAUAAUGACAACUUUCUAUCUAUAUGUCUUGACCAAAUUACGUGCCAGCAGUCGCGGCAAUACGUAGAAGACUAGUGUUAUUCAUCUUUAUUAGGUUUAAAGGGUACCUAGACGGUAAAACUAGCCCCCAAAGGGAACAGCUUUACUAGAGUUUUAUGUGAGAGGUAUAUGUUAGGACUGUUGGUGUAGAGAUGAAAUUCUAUGAUACUAAUGGGACGGAUGGCGGCGAAAGCAAACCUCUAUGUAUAAACUGACGUUGAGGGACGAAGGCUUGGGGAGCAAAUAGGAUUAGAUACCCUAGUAGUCCAGGCAGACAAUUAUGAAUGUUAUAUGCUAGGUUUUUACACUUGGUGUAUAAAUGAAAGUGCAAGCAUUCCACCUCAAGAGUAAUGUGGCAACGCAGGAACUGAAAUCAUUAGACCGUUUCUGAAACCAGUAGUGAAGUAUGUUAUUUAAUUCGAUGAUCCUCGAAAAACCUUACCACAAUUUGAAUAUUAUUUCUUUAAAUAAUACAAGCGUUGCACGGCUGUCUUCAGUUAAUGUCGUGAGAUUUUGGUUAGAUUCAUUAAUUAACGUAAACCCAUACUUUAUUUAUUCUCUAUAAAGUAGUUCACUGCUAUAU
RNAcentral lists this ribosomal RNA (689 nucleotides) under Saxomyces americanus. RNAcentral's name for it is "SSU rRNA". It matches the Rfam family "Bacterial small subunit ribosomal RNA", at positions 397 to 1146 of the family's 1533-position model. The record is from RNAcentral. Lineage: Eukaryota; Fungi; Ascomycota; Dothideomycetes.